Molecule: ribosomal RNA, 1060 nt
Filed under: Eurotiomycetes sp.
Lineage: Eukaryota; Fungi; Ascomycota; Eurotiomycetes
Description: eukaryotic LSU rRNA
Rfam family: Eukaryotic large subunit ribosomal RNA (bases 493-1060)
Source: RNAcentral
AUUGUACCAUGCGUUGCUUCGGCGGGACCGUCUUCACGACCGCCGGAGGGCCGUAAAACGUCCUCUGGCCCGCGCCCGCCGAUGGCCCCCCAUUAAAAAAUUCUGAAUAAUCAUGCCUAUAUUGUCUGAGUAAUACAUAAAAAUUAAAAGCAAAAACUUUCAACAACGGAUCUCUUGGUUCUGGCAUCGAUGAAGAACGCAGCGAAAUGCGAUAAGUAAUGCGAAUUGCAGAAUUCCAGUGAGUCAUCGAAUCUUUGAACGCACAUUGCGCCCUUUGGUAUUCCGAAGGGCAUGCCUGUUCGAGCGUCAUUUUCACCCCUCAAGCCCCCGGGCUUGGUUUUGGACGGCUUGGUUGAGGCAUCGCCUCGACCCCUCCUAAAGAUAAUGACGGCGGCCUCGUUGGACCCCCGGUACACUGAGCUUCUUAACUGAGCACGUAUCGGAUCUAGGGUUUGCGGGACACGGUCUUUAACCCCCCUUUUUUUCUAAGGUUGACCUCGGAUCAGGUAGGAAUACCCGCUGAACUUAAGCAUAUCAAUAAGCGGAGGAAAAGAAACCAACAGGGAUUGCCUCAGUAACGGCGAGUGAAGCGGCAACAGCUCAAAUUUGAAAUCUGGCCUCUUUGGGGUCCGAGUUGUAAUUUGUAGAGGAUGUUUCGGGUACCGCCUCGGUCUAAAUUUCUUGGAACAGAAUGUCAGAGAGGGUGAGAAUCCCGUCUUGGACCGGCGGUAGGGCCCAUGUGAAACUCCUUCGACGAGUCGAGUUGUUUGGGAAUGCAGCUCAAAAUGGGUGGUAUAUUUCAUCUAAAGCUAAAUAUUGGCCAGAGACCGAUAGCGCACAAGUAGAGUGAUCGAAAGAUGAAAAGAACUUUGAAAAGAGAGUUAAACAGUAUGUGAAAUUGUUGAAAGGGAAGCGCUUGCAACCAGACUUGAGCGCGGCGGUUCCCCCUUCCUUUUGGUUGGGUUACUCCGUCGUGUCCAGGCCAACAUCGGUUCUGGGGGUCGGUUAAAGGCUUGGGGAAUGUACCUACGUCUUCGGGCGUAGACUUAUAGCCCCGGGU